This is a non-coding RNA of Musa acuminata subsp. malaccensis (wild Malaysian banana), 493 nucleotides long. Lineage: Eukaryota; Viridiplantae; Streptophyta; Magnoliopsida; Zingiberales; Musaceae. The record is from RefSeq and is a predicted model, not a curated record.
UCUCUCUUUCCGGUCCCUGCCAACCUGGGCCCGCAGGAAGACAGGAGGCACUGCCCUCCCCUUGGCUGCCGCUGCCGCUGCGGUUUCCGGCGCCCACACCGGAGGCUGCACUUCUUGAGGCGCCGCAGCUUCGGAGGUGGAGGCGAAAGCGGACUCCUUCGCAGGCGAACCCAUCCCAGCUCACCAGAACUACGAAACACCGAAAUAGCAUCAAGAUCAGUAACAAGAAGAAGAAAGCAAACGCCAACGACUUGCGAUUGGAGAAAGAGAAUGCAUAUGACGGUAAUCGCGGAACCGGCGUCGGCGGCCAAGAAACUAGGUUGGGGCGAGGAGGGUGAAUGGGCGGAUUAUAUGGAGAGGAGUGUGGGGCAUGGCUUGCCCAGUAUGGCAAACUCUACUUGCAAACGGAGAGAGAGAGAGAGAGGAAGAGGAAGGAAGGGUGACUGCGAUCGCCGAUUUUGGAUCGGCGGAGGGAUAGAAUCCAAAAGAGGAA